RNAcentral lists this ribosomal RNA (256 nucleotides) under uncultured Arcanobacterium sp. Its description in RNAcentral is "partial 16S ribosomal RNA". It matches the Rfam family "Bacterial small subunit ribosomal RNA", at positions 97 to 354 of the family's 1533-position model. Lineage: Bacteria; Bacillati; Actinomycetota; Actinomycetes; Actinomycetales; Actinomycetaceae. The record is from RNAcentral.
GACGGAGGUAGUAAUACGUGGGUAACCUGCCCUCUUCUUUGGGAUAAGCCCCGGAAACGGGGUCUAAUACCGGAUAUUCUGCUUCUGCCGCAUGGUGGGGGUUGGAAAGGUUUUUCGGUGGGGGAUGGGCCCGCGGCCUAUCAGCUUGUUGGUGGGGUGAUGGCCUACCAAGGCUUCGACGGGUAGCCGGCCUGAGAGGGUGACCGGCCACAUUGGGACUGAGAUACGGCCCAGACUCCUACGGGAGGCAGCAGGA